UACGUAGGAGGCGAGCGUUGUCCGGAUUCACUGGGCGUAAAGGGCGCGUAGGCGGCCGCUUGAGUCCCUGCGUGAAAUCUCCCGGCUCAACCGGGAGGGUCCGCGGGAUACUGGGCGGCUUGAGGACAUCAGAGGAGAGCGGAAUCCCCGGUGUAGUGGUGAAAUGCGUAGAUAUCGGGGGGAACACCAGUGGCGAAGGCGGCUCUCUGGGGUGCAACUGACGCUGAGGCGCGAAAGCGUGGGGAGCGAACCGG
RNAcentral lists this ribosomal RNA (254 nucleotides) under uncultured bacterium. RNAcentral describes it as "partial 16S ribosomal RNA". It matches the Rfam family "Bacterial small subunit ribosomal RNA", at positions 524 to 776 of the family's 1533-position model. The record is from RNAcentral.